RNAcentral lists this ribosomal RNA (253 nucleotides) under uncultured bacterium. Its description in RNAcentral is "partial 16S ribosomal RNA". It matches the Rfam family "Bacterial small subunit ribosomal RNA", at positions 524 to 776 of the family's 1533-position model. The record is from RNAcentral.
UACGUAGGGUGCGAGCGUUGUCCGGAAUUAUUGGGCGUAAAGAGCUCGUAGGCGGCUUGUCGCGUCGGAUGUGAAAGCCCGGGGCUUAACUCCGGGUCUGCAUUCGAUACGGGCAGGCUAGAGUUCGGUAGGGGAGAUCGGAAUUCCUGGUGUAGCGGUGAAAUGCGCAGAUAUCAGGAGGAACACCGGUGGCGAAGGCGGUCUGCUGGGCCAAGACUGACGCUGAGGCGCGACAGCGUGGGGAGCAAACAGG